This 375-nucleotide ribosomal RNA is filed under the name uncultured bacterium. Its description in RNAcentral is "bacterial SSU rRNA". It matches the Rfam family "Bacterial small subunit ribosomal RNA", at positions 28 to 412 of the family's 1533-position model. The record is from RNAcentral.
GACAAACGCUGGCGGCGUGCUUCACACAUGCAAGUCGAACGGAAAGGCCCGCUUGCGGGUACUCGAGUGGCGAACGGGUGAGUAACACGUGGGUAACCUGCCCACCUCUGNACGGAUACGUGAACGGCGCUAAUACCGGAUACGACCACCUUCCGCAUGGUUGGUGGUGGAAAGUUUUUGCGGUUGGGGAGGGCCCGCGGCCUAUCAGCUUGUUGGUGCGGUAGUGGCGUACCAAGGCUUUGACGGGUAGCCGGCCUGAGAGGGCGGUCGGUCACAUUGGGACUGUGAUACGGCCCAGACUCCUACGGGAGGCAGCAGUGGGGAAUUUGCACAAUGGGCGGAAGCCUGAUGCAGCGACGCCGCGUGCGGGAUGAC